Physcomitrium patens is the source of this 2055-nucleotide non-coding RNA. NCBI's taxonomy places the organism in Eukaryota, Viridiplantae, Streptophyta, Bryopsida, Funariales, Funariaceae. The record is from RefSeq and is a predicted model, not a curated record.
GGAUGUAAAAAUGGCUACUUUUAUGAGUGUUAAUUUGGCUCGAUGUUUUGGUGAAUUUUUGACUUGAGCUUAGUACCAAAGCUAGGAAAGGCAUAUGUGCAAAUUGAAAGGACAAUGCAACCACUGUUAUGCUGAUUGAAUAUUCUUUAUAGUUAUUUUUUGUCGCACUGUUGGAACAUCGAGCAUGGUGAAGGGGCAAGAUCUGAUAAACUUGUUGCCAGACGAGAAGCUAAUAGAAAUCAUGAAAUAUGUCGAUGGAAGAGGCAACGACCGAGAUGCUUGCUUGUUGGUCUGUAAAAGAUGGAGGAUGCUGGAGAGUCAGGGUAAAGCUGUAGGUAUGACAUUGCUCUCGAAGACGAGAAGAAGUGGGCACCGCGUGAUAAUGAAUUGUGAAGAUGACAGCAAUGACAAUGGUUUGAGUAAUUUUUUAGAUAUGGGACUUUGAUUUCUAGCGAAGGGAUGUCUAAGAUUAGAGAGUCUGUCUCUCAUGUGGUGCUCUGCAGUGUUAAGUCACGACCUUGUCAAUCUAGCAAAUGCUUGCAGUGGUUUAAAGGUCUUGGACUUAUAUGUAUAUAAUCAUGUCUACAACCAAACUUCAAUGUUUCUAUCUAUAUAUGUUGCUGUUGUAUCAUCCCAAUUCAAAACAAGGUCGUGAUCUCUAAUUUUUGUUUCCUAUGCUUAUUUGUGGCUGGUUUUUCUUCAUGUUUGUGUAGUAAAUGAUCAUGAUUAAAUUUUUAGCUAUAUAAAGAUGUAUUUAUUAGGUGGAAUUGCUGUAAGACUGCUAUAUCAGGACCAAGGUUUGAAGGCCAUAGGCAUAUAUUGUAAAUAGCUGGAAGAGCUAAAUUUUUAUUUUUGUGAAUGAAUUAGCAAUAUCGACAUAGUAGGAAUUACUGAAGGAUGUGGAAAAUUGCUUCAAUCACUUAGAAUUGCAGCUUGUGCUCGUAUAACAAAUGUAGUAUUGAAGGUCAUUCAACUCUUUACCUAAAUCAUUUUCUAAAAAUUUCCUGCUUUCUCAACCUAGUUCAUCGCAAUUGGUAAGCUGUCUGGCACAGCCUUGAAAUUGUAGAGUCUAUAAAAGUCCAGAUGUAUUAAGUUUUGGAUUGCAUGUUGAUGAUACAAAUGCUCCUCAAGCACAUUGUUUGAUUUUGAUAGUUGACCACCUCGUCAUCGUUUGCUUCCGACUGUAGGCUGUGGAGACCAACUAUAACAUGCUCAAGAAGUUCACUUUAGACUCCGAGUAUAUUGAGAUGGAUGGUGUGCUGGUGAUAGGCCGAGGUUGCGUACAACUACAAAUGCUUCGACUAUAAUGUGUCAAUGUGUGCAAGGAAGAAGUCUGCUUGCUAUUGGGGGAGGAUACAAAAAGUUAAGAAAAGUCACAUUGAGUGACUCAUGCUAUGUGGGUGACCGCAGCCUAGUUGCCAUUGAUGGGGGUUGUCUCCAACUUGAAGCACUGGAAAUAAACCGCUGUCAUAACAUUGGAACUGCAUGGCUUCAGGCUGUGGGCCGUUCUUGCCGGUAGCAAAAAUUUCUUUCACGAUAUAGUGACACCGCAAAAUAUUUCAAUUCCUCAUGCCGUAUGUUGAGGUUCAGACUUACAUCAAUUUAUAAUGAAGCGAUGAUUACUAAUGGUUGAUACUUCCAAGAGAUGUUUUGCAGUUGAUUAAGGGUUUCAUACUGCAACCUCAUACAAGACGAAAACAACUCUCUUCAUAGAGUUUCUUUGUUCAUACUACAACCACUUUUACACCACAACCUCAUGCUGGACCCACUCCGUGUUUACAUUUGAGGAGUUAUAAAAUAUAACAACAUGAAUUAUGUUACAAAAAUAGAAUAAUUUACUAAUUUUUAAUUUUUGAAAUGUGUAUUUUUAUUAAUAUUUUUAAUACAAAAUAAGAAGAAAAUUGCUUAAAGAUAGAUAGAUAACUGAAUAAGAUUGCAAACACUGGAAUCAAAUAACAAUAGAAUGCAUAAUUAUUUUAUUUAGCGUCCUACAUAGGCUACAACUAGUGUGUGUAUAUAUGUGUAUAUAUAUAUAUGUUAUUUUUUACCCAUUAA